GAAAUGUGAUAAGUAGUGUGAAUUGCAGAAUUCAGUGAAUCAUCGAAUCUUUGAACGCACAUUGCGCCCCUUGGUAUUCCAUGGGGCAUGCCUGUUCGAGCGUCAUUUGUACCCUCAAGCUCUGCUUGGUGUUGGGUGUUUGUCCCGUCUCCGCGCGUGGACUCGCCCCAAAGUGAUUGGCAGCCGGCGAACUGGUCCCGGAGCGCAGCACAUGUCGCGCAAACGAGUGCCUUGGUACGGCGGCGUCCAUAAGCCCCUCUCUCACGCUCUUGACCUCGGAUCAGGUAGGGAUACCCGCUGAACUUAAGC
Molecule: unclassified non-coding RNA, 309 nt
Filed under: plant metagenome
Description: partial contains 5.8S ribosomal RNA, internal transcribed spacer 2, and large subunit ribosomal RNA
Rfam family: 5.8S ribosomal RNA (bases 1-105)
Source: RNAcentral